RNAcentral lists this non-coding RNA (60 nucleotides) under Plasmodium falciparum 3D7. Lineage: Eukaryota; Apicomplexa; Aconoidasida; Haemosporida; Plasmodiidae. The record is from RNAcentral.
AUUUCGAAUGCAAUACUAAUGUGGUAACGCCACUAAUCAUAGAUCCCAAAUCAGAAACUA